CUGCUGCCUCCCGUAGGAGUUUGGGCCGUGUCUCAGUCCCAAUGUGGCCGUUCACCCUCUCAGGCCGGCUACUGAUCGUUGCCUUGGUAGGCCAUUACCCCACCAACUAGCUAAUCAGACGCGGAACCAUCGUAUACCACCAGAGUUUUUCACACCGCUUCAUGCGAAGCUGUGCGCUUAUGCGGUAUUGGCACCUAUUUCUAAGUGUUAUCCCCCAGUAUACGGCAGGUUUUCCACGCGUUACUCACCCGUCCGCCA
Molecule: ribosomal RNA, 258 nt
Filed under: uncultured bacterium
Lineage: Bacteria
Description: partial 16S ribosomal RNA
Source: RNAcentral